GUAUGUCAUCAUUACAUGUUUAACCCCUUAAAGGUUUAACCCCUCUAUUUCAUACCCUGGAACCUGUGUGACAGCAUUGCAGUAAGAAUCUGUAUCCUGAGUUAACAAAAUGUGUGCUCCAGACCAAGAGUGGAGCCCAAGUCUCCUCCUGGAUGAGUUCUCAGAUCUCUCUCUACGCUUACAUAAAGAACCAUCUGAGCACCAGUGAGAGAAACAGCUCCCUUUCCAAAGCAUUUGGAUAGCUUAAGAAACUGCUGAUUCCCCAGUAGAGGGUAUUUAUAAAGCUAAUGUUGAUGGAUUUUUGUAUUAUAAAGUCAGCCCAGUAAUGCUGACUGCAUUUGCCUUUCUCUGUGUGUGUGUAUAAGUAUCCCAUUUUUAAAUUCUUUGAAGAAUAUUCAAAGUGUUAUAAAAUGCACCACUUUUCUCUGAGGAAGCUAUGAAAGUGUCUGUCAAAGUCUAUGGCUAAAAGGCUGGGACACAUUUUUGCAUUUAUUAACCAUUCAGCCCCUGUUAACUCUGAAGCGCAUAUUUUGGGACCAUAUUCUGGAAAUACAGUAAGUGACAGGGAAAACAGCCUGAAACUGUGUGUCUCUCAGCUCAGGUUAAUCAAGAGAUAUGAGCAUAAAACACAAAGUUUCUUACUUGAAAAUUGUUACAGACUUUCAGUAGAGACAGUGCUUUCUUAUUUUUUUUAAAGAAAGUAAGCCUUCUGUAGGCAUAAAAACAAACAAACAAACAAAUAAACAAAACCACAAAAAACCUCCAAGCAAACAAAAACCAACAAACCUUCCCACUCCCCAAAAAGUCUUUUAGAUUUUUCUGUUUGGUGUGUUGCAUCUGUAUGUAUUACACUUAUCCACUUUUCCCUGAACACUGUCGAGCCCCACUGGAUCCAAAGUUGGAUUUUGCCAACCAUCGCAUCCCUACAAGAGACAGUUACUUCAGAGGACUAAGGGCUAGAAGGUCACUGUGCUCAUAACUUGGUUUGUGUUCACUUAUGUCUCUAAGGAAAGAACAGAGACCUGAAACAGUGUCAGGCUAAAGGAACACUUGCUGUGGGUUAGGCAGCCACUGAUAACAACAUGGUGUGGGGUUAGACUCAGAUCUAGCUGAGCAAAGCUGUGGCUUCCCUAAAGACCUGAGUACUUUUGAGGACUGAAAGUUAAUGUGAUCAUUGUGUGGUAUUAUAGGACAUGCAUUUAAUAUAUGGUAAUAUAAAAUUUGUAGUCCACUGUGAUCCCAAGGUGCUGUUUAUAAAUUAGAUUCUCUUAAAAUCUUUAUUUAUACUAGCUUCACCUGGACUCCACAGCUGAGAAGCUUCUGGGAAGAGAAGUCCAUGGCAACAAAGCAAUCCAUUACCUGGGUCUCUUGCACUUGAAUAGGCGGAAGCUGGGACAAACAGCAUCCUUGUGCCCUCCCCAGGCGAGCAAGCUUACCUGCAUCAUCCAUGCAGUGUCAUUUCCUCCUCUUCAUUAGCUUCCCACAAUAUGAGACAACAGAAGUGUCCAUGUGGACAAGUAACUCUUGCUUGAUUUAUUGUCGGUGAUGCUGACACAAGUAAUAAAUUCAAAGGAAGAUGAAAAUUGCCUAACAAGAAUGAUUCAAAUAACACCUGCCUUCCUGGGCAAAGGAGCACUUAUUUUCUUCUACUCCACUGACAACAGACUCGCUGACCUUUACAGGAAUGGUGAAAACUGCACACAUGCCAAUAUUUAAGAAAUUAAUGCCUUUUUAUAUCUUGUCUCUAAACAAACAUAAAGGAAAGAGCAGGUUCUAUGCUCUGGCACUUAUUAUAUGGCAAAAAUAUGAAGAUUAACUCUCCUACCAAUAAGGGGUAGAAAUCCUAUUUAAUAAAAAUUUAAAGAUGUAUUAGAAUGAUGUAGAAGACGCAUUAAUUCUGAAAUGUUGAUAAAUAUUUUGCAAUGCUGUGUUGAAUAAGUGAUUUUUGUAACAGUCAGUGCCAAUAUAAGUUUCUGUCCACAUAUUAAGUGUAAGUUGUGAUUCUCCCAAGUGAAUGAAAUUAAGAUUUGAAUUUGAAGAGCAAUUUGCAUCUUAAAAUCACUAUAACUCAUUGAGUACAUUUGGUAGUAGCAUUCUGCCCAUUCAUGUGCCUUCUGUGUCCUAUGAGGAGAGGCUGAGGGAGCUGUGGCUGUUUAGCCUGGAGAAGAGGAGGCUCAGGGAAGACCUCAUCACUCUCUACAACUCCCUGAAAGGAUGUUGGAGCCAGGUGGGGGUUGGUCUCUUCUCCCAGGCAACCAGCAGUAGGACAAGAAGGCAUGAUCUUAAGCUCUGCCAGGGGAGGUUUAGGUUGGAUAUUAGGAAGAAAUUUUUUACAGAGAGAGUGAUCAGACAUUGGAAUGGGCUGCCCAGGGAGGUGGUGGCUUCACCAUCCCUGGAGGUUUUUAAGAUGAGACUGAAUGUGACACUUAGUGCCAUGGUCUAGUAACAGUGGCAGUGUUGGAUCAAGGGUUGGACUUGAUGAUCUCGGAGGUCUUUUCCAACCCAGUUGAUUCUAUGAUUCUAUGACUCUGGGUUUCAAGAUAGGAAGUAAUUGCUGGAAAUAAAUGUAAUAUGUCUUUCUGUGACCUUACAGCUGGAGAUACUACUGUAUAAAAAUAUAGAGAAAUACUCUUUUCCACCCAAAGGCCUGCAGAGACAUUGGUAUCAUGAGAGAUUCAAAACUCAAGCUGAGCUGAUCUUGAGCAAUCUGCCUUUGGUGGAUGCCCUUUGAAUGGGUAGCUGGACCCAGAAGACCUCUGGAGAUCCCUUCCAGCUACUUUGCCCUGAACCACUUUAUGGUUCCUUGCUGGUUCCUGCAUGCAUGGCAUUAAGAAUUGUGUGAUUUCUGAAGGAGUUAAAGGGUUAAUAGAUGAUGAAAAGGGAUGAGGAAAGAAGCCAAAAGCACAGAUUACUUAGUGUUAGGGCUGUCAACACUUCCAGUACCUCUUUACAACCUUUUUUAAUUAGGACUAAAUUUUGGAACUGAACAUCUCCAAGAGUGAAGAACAGCCUUGUAUAAAAGGUGUGUAAUAUGGAUAUGCGAAGCUCUCUUCAGGAUGGUUGGUUGAUGGGGACUGCUUAUCUUCUGGACUGGUCUUGCUGAGAGCUUGGUGGAGGAGCAGCAGCAGAGAGUACUGAAUAUGUGUCAUACACCCAAGAGCAGUCCUUCAAGGAGUGAGCAUAUCACACAGCUGCCUUAUGGACUGAUCUGCUUCUUGCCAUGUCCCAGAGAAACAGGACUCUGGUGGGAACCUUAUACUUUGUUGGAGCACCUGAAAAGCCAGCUAGAACAGAGAAAAGGAAAACUUGCCAAGACCUGACUAGAACGACAAGCAGGUUAAAAAAACCCAAACCCACAACCCAUGAUUUAAACACCACAGGAGGCAAAAAACAAAUUAAGGAUGUAGAUUCCCUGUGUGCACAUAAUUACAAGUAUGUGAGUCACUGGAGUCAGCAGUUGUUCAUCUACCUAAAGACCUGGAGAGGAUGUCUGGCUGCACUCGACUUGGGGAGUAGCUAAGCGGAUUUUGUUUGUUUGUUUGUUUGUUUGUUUAUUAAGCUAUUGCUCAAGGGGGUAGCAGUGGGGAGAGAAAAUUGAAGGGUGAAUUUACACUGAUUAAAGAAACACCGUCUGUGUACACAGGCGUUUCUGAGGCACAGUGUGAGACUGGAAGAAUUCUGGGUUUGGUGCUGCUAAAUUAGUGGUGAAAAGAGGAUCUGAAUUUCAUUGAUACAGUAACAGUGUAAGUCCCAUAGGGAUAUUUUUCAUUGCUGUAUUGCUCUAUAUACAAUGUUUUAUACAUAUAUAUUUUUAUUAUGUAUACAAACAGUCAUUAGCAUUUGCUGGGAACAUAAAGUAAGAUGACUGGUAGCUUUGCUUCCUUUCUUAAUAAUCUAUUCAUUCAGCACUUAGAUUUCUCUUGUUGAUAGUUUUUCAUCUUCUUAAAUCAUAAAAUGAAAGCAGAAGGAAAUACAGAAAGAAGGAAGUAAGAAAAUGAUCAAAAAUUUUUGUAUCUGACAGAUAAAAGUCCAGUGCUUCUAAGGCAAAAAUUACAGUGUAUUUUCAUUAAGAAAAUAAGCAUGUAGGAGAGGGAGGAUUUGCUUAUGAAUAUCUCUUAAAUACAUGAGCAUAUUCAAAUGAUAAUAAACAGGUCCCGACAUAGAUAUAUAUGUAAUAGCAAAACAUCCCAUGGUUGGUUUCUAAUUUCUAACUAAUUUUGACUCAUUAAGUGUGCUUAACAUGAGGACCAUGUUUCUAUCUAUUGGUUAAACAAAAUGCUAUUGGGCUAACUACUAGUGCAGUGUCCUGAGCUGCCUACUGAAAUCCCUGUUACAAGUCCAGAUUUAUUCAUUCAGGCCAGUGCUGGCUUCUCAGGGAAGGGAUCUUCAUGGCUUGUCUGUGUUGCUCUGCAGUUGUUCUCAGACUGUGCUUUAUGGAGAAGUGCAAGAGAGUCACAGAUCAAUGGCUGAAAAUUAAGAGUUAAAAAGUGUUACUAAAGAACAUGAAUGCCUGUGCUCACUGCCUUUCACUCCCAGCUCCUGGCAGACGUCCUUCAGCUGUUCAAUACUCUUGCUCAGCAACAGCAAAGUGUUAACAUCUCAGAGAAUGUCAAUUGUUGAGCAGUGCAAAAUGGCACAACUCUUCAGUCUUCCUGAGCUGAAAGAGACUAGAGGCUUUAGGUAAAGGGAAAAGCUAAGAAACCAGAGAAGUGAUCACAACAUAGGAAGCAAAGCUGAGAGAGGGAAAUAAAUACACAGUGAAAGAGGUUUGAGAGAGAUACUGCUGGUUCAGAAAAUACAGUCAUAGGAACAUUUCAGGGAAAGAUACUUCAUUAAUAAAUCUAAGAGACUGAAAUCUGAGAUUUCCUAUUUUAUUUGUCAUAUGAUGAUCACCAUUAAAUACUUUGGUUGGAUGAGAUAUUUCCAAGGAGUCAGUUGAGCACUUUUCAUAGGUAUGGUUGAGGCUGCUGCUUCUGAGAGAAACACAAAGAAACUCCAGUCAGCUUCCCUCCUUGUCUCCAGAUAUGUGCACUUUCUGACCAUGUGAAUAUAGCUUUCUGCAGUGCAUAAGGUAUAGAAAUGCAGUGCCAGUAGAGCAUUUGCUUUUCAUUUUGCAGGCAAAAGUCCCAUUCACAUUUAUUUCCCACAGAUUUACUUAAAUCAGUCUUGGGCAGAUAGAAGAUGGAAGAAAACGAAAGAUUAGGAGCAAGACUGAAUGCUGACAGAGAAGAAAAGCAGGUUAGAAAGAAUAACUGAGACCUAGAAUUAAAAAAUGACAAAUGGAUUACCCAGACCUCUGUUCUCACACAGUAACAGAAGGAAGUAGGGGAAUGAAUAAAAAGGAAAAUGAAAUGCAGAGAAAUGAUAAUUGAGGAAUAUGAAAAGCUCAGAAGAGCUGCUAACACAGGCUGGGCCAGAUAUCUCACUUAGUGUAGCUCUACUGAUUUUGUAGGUAUCUCGGAGUGGCUUUAUCAGAGUGGGUAUGCGUGUCAGACCCACUGAGGGGAGCAAACCCAAGUUUACUUGUGCAGUAGGUCCUGGUCUUUCCUUAUACUUAGGUGUUUGAACUCUGCUUUUGGGAGAUUUGUGUGCAUCUGCCAUUCCCCACUGGUCCCCAGCCCUGUGCUGUGGUGGAGCAAAGUGGGAAAUUCAGGCAGACCAAAAUAAAAGCACAAGGAACACAGUGGUGAAUUAAAACACUGCUGAUGAAUACAGGCUGAUGGACUUCCGAGAGAAUACUCUGAGUUUUCAUGAACAUUGAUGCUUUGAAAUUCGCUGUAACUAGUAAGGAAAAAGACUAGGAUAUCACUCUGGACAGAUCAUUGUAAACCUCUGCUUAAUGUGCAAAUGUGAAGCAGUCAAUUAAGAAGCAACCCAGUCAAACUGUUAUCUAAUGAACUAAAGUAAUUCUGUCUCGGGAGGAUGUAACAACAAGAGGGAGGAGCUGCAAAUAACAAAUUUAUGGCAUAUUUUAAGACAGAGAGAGAUUUUGACUAGAUGAUCUUACAAGUAAGGUCCCUUCCAACCUGAGCUGUUCUAUGAGUCUAUGAUUUUGAAAUGAGAAGAGGCUGAAAAGUAUCAGGACAGUUAUAUGUGAAAAGGGCAUUGCCCAGAAGAGGUAGUUUGCUUCUGGGUCACUUUUUGCUUAGUAACUAUGGGAGAAGACAAAGUAAACAUGAAAAGCAAUGACCUUGGAAAAUAAAUAAAUAAAUUUAAAACUGUAGCCAAUAUAUCUGGUUGAUAAAGACACUUCCAUAUCCUGGGAGUUGAAACAAGAACUGAACAUUUGCAUGGACAAUGAAAACCUCCGUUCUCUCUUCAGAUAGGAUCCUCUUUUUUUCCCCCUACACUUCUUAUUAAUCGGGAUUAUAAAAACUGAAUUUGCUGGGAUUCUGAAAUUCUGAAAUUCUGAAAAAACUGAGCUAAUUGCCAGGUGUAUGUUUCCAUUGCAGAAAGGAUAUUGCUGUGCAGAUAUGAUUGAAUUAACUGAGCAAGAAGCGAGGCAGAGGUCUCACCCAAAUUGCACUCUUUGUCACUCUAGGCACUUGAGAUUGCUGUGUUAAUUAUAGAGUUUGGGUAUGUCUCUGUGGCACUUCUACCUUAAAACUGAAAAUGCAAGAUAUAAACUUCUUGUCAGAGAUUAGCUCAUAUAUCUCGCACCUUUCUCUAAUUGUAAAAUCACGUGAAAAGAUAGACUGAGAAGAAUUCAAGAUCUUUCUAGUCUGUCUCUCCUCAACAGAACUAGACCAAAAAAAGCUGUGUGUCUUCAUGCAGAACUGUCUAUCUUUAAGACCAAAGAAUGGACAUUACACAGCCUGCUCACCUGCCACUGUGACAAAAAAGAUUAUUCUCUUUGUUUUUAAAAAAGCUUAUUUUUGAUGAUUCUUAUUGUCUCUUUCAAUCUGAUGAAAUGAUCCAUUGUAGAACAUUACUAUUUCUCUUUCCAGGUAUUCUCCAAUAGUGUACAGUUUUGUUCAGUUUCUUAAAAACUCAGCACAGCAUUUUAGCUGGAGAUUCUCCAGUGCUGGAUAAUUAUUUUUUGAGCAUCUCUCUAUGUUUCUUGACCUCUCAUCACAGCAUUUUUGAAGCAAUAGGGCUUUAUUAAUUCACAUUAGUAAGGUGGUAUGUUUUUUAAGUUUUGCACUCUGUUCUGUCAUGCAGGUGGCUAAUGGAAUUAUCAGAGAACAGCAGACUCAGGUGUAAUGCACUGCAGAGCCAUGAUUGAUGUAGUCCUCUGUUUGAUAAUCCGCUGCUGGUAGCUACAUUUAAACUAUGUUUUUCUAGCAGUUACACCCAACUUGAAAAAAAUUCCACCCAGAACAGUUUUUCUUUGCCUUCUCCUGGGAUGGUGUCAAAAACCUUAUUGAAGAGAAGGUAUUUGACAUCUACUGUAGCUUCCAUAUCUUUUUGUCAGCCUCCUGUCACAGGAAGAAAUUAGAUUUUUUUGACGUGAUUGUUCCCAGGAAAUCAACUCAGACUGUUGUUUAUCUUGUUUUCAGGGCUUAUGAACAGUCCUUUUUUAAAUUGUUUCAGUGCUUUUUAGGGGAUUUGAAAUCGGGCUGGUCAUUCUCUAACUUCUCCUGUAUAUAUCAGCUUUCUGUUGGCCCUUGCCAGUUUUCUAAUAUUUCACUAGUCACCUAGGAAUCCUUGAAGGUAGUGGGUAAUGGUUCUGACUUUGCUUCAGCCAGAUACUUAAAUACAAUAACUGAACUAAUUACUUUUUAACCUCUUACCUGUGUUAACCUGAGAUACUAUCCCACUGCCAUCGGUAUUGUUUGCUACCAUAUUGUGGCUGAUCGCUCUAGUAAAGAGAUGUAAAAAAGCAGUAAGUUUUGGACUUCUCAUCACUACCUGUUGAUAAUUUUUCCUUUGCAAUUUGUGUUCCAACAUUUUUUUUCAUCUUCUAGUACAAGUAAUGUUCUUGAACGAUUUUCAAUUAGGCAACAUGUCACUUUGUAGUUCUUUCUUGUUUCAUGCCUUCGUGAGUCUAUCAUCUUUUGCUGUUUCUGUAAGCCUGUCUGUAACUGAACAUGAUUUUUGCCUCCUGUAUGUCUUACAGUAUUUCUAGUCAGUGAAAACACUAUUGUUUACUGAAAUAUCUCUCUCUACUUUUCUCGUUAUUAUAGUUUACACUUAUGUCCUUAGUGUAGUCAUGUUGAGGAACUGCCAUUUCUCAUUGACUAUUUUUCACCUUCAAUUUAGCUCCUAAAGAGAUGACCAGUCAGUUUUUUGAGGUUAGCAGUAUUUUGCAGUCCAUUGGUUUAUGUUUUUCUGUUCUUUCUCUGUAAUGAUGUUCACUUGAGCUAUUUUCUAUAUUCAGGUUUUCAAAUGACUCAUCAUUGGUUAGAAUCAAAUACAGAAAUACCUUUUUUUCUGGAAGAUUUUCUGCUCUCUGUAUUGAGUAGUUGUUGCCAGAGCAUCUGAAGGAAAAUGGGAUUCUGUGUCCUGGUAUAUCCAGUUUCCAUUAGUUGAGUAUCUAGCUGAAAUGCUUGAGUGACACCAAGUCCUUUCAUUUAAAUGAUUCUGUUCAUAAAAUAAUCUUCUACCAGAUCAUCCUGUUUUGCUGAACUUUAAUACAUUGCCCACCACAUGUAUUUCCUUUACUCAUUACUUAAGAGCUUUUCAGCUGCUCAAAAGUCCUCUGCAUUCUGGGAUCUCAGAACAAAUAAAUAUGUACUUCAUAUUUGAAAUAUCAGAUCCUUCCUUUCUACUCAACCUUUACUUCUUGAGAAAGUUUUGUACUACCUCUUAUGCUAGCUCUGAGAAUGUGGUUGGAUUGAGUCUCUAUGAUAAAUAAGCAGUAAUUUUGACCAUGUUUGAAGACUUCAGUCUUGUUUAUUCCAUAUACUUGUGUAUUGGUAUGCAGAUGUCUAAGAUAAUCACUGAAUUUGAUCCACUAUUCUCUUCCUUGUCUUGUCUUUAAUCCUAUUUUGAAUAGGUUCAUGCUCCCAAAUUUUUGUGGCUUGACCAGAUAACUCCUGUUAAUGCUUAUUGGUGGUGACUUGCCUCCUUUGUCAGCUCUCAUUUAUUCCUAAGACAGUUCAUAUAGGCUAUACAGUCUCAUGUGCAAAGAUUGACCUCUGGUGGAUUAGAGGGGCUACUGGUGUGACCCGUCUGGGUUUCUGCAUCUCUUAUGUGUUUACAUCUCCUUUAUCACUAUACACUUUGGAGCUGAGGUUCCUGAUAGUGGCAGGUGAGACUCUACUUGGUGUUUUCCACCUCUGCAUGAGCUGCAGGCUGAUGGCUCCACAAGUGUCAAAGUCUCUCUAUUGGGCUCUUCUCAGAUGCUUGGUCCUCCUCAGGCUACCAGGCAGUUUAGUGGGAGAGGAAGACAUGGGGAUGGAGGAGGAAGCUAGCUCUCACCCAAGCACCUCUUGGUGAGAGCAGUCAUCUCACCCUGGCAGGGUUUCCUUGUGUCAGCAGAGAGAGGAGAGGUAUCCAGGAACGUCUUUUCUCCCAUUGACUUUUUCAAGCAAGAAGCAUUCCUCUCUCAUCUGCUCACUGAUUUUAGAGGUUUGUUUGUUUUUUUUCCUUAGAGUUAUGUCUUUUCUUUAAAAUAAUUGAUUUUUUAUUGGGGGAUCCUGAGAAGUAUAUUCAAGUGGAGAAGUUGGGUGGACAUGAAACUGCUGCUCCUCUUUUGACCUUACUUUCCUGCUGUUAGGGAUUUAUUUUUUAAAUUGUGUGUAAAUGCAUUUCACAUGCUACUGUGAAAGAUGGAGUUCAUUAAGAACUGCAUGACCUGCCUUUAUAUUACAGAUUCAGAUUGGAUAAAUAAGGGGAAAUUCUGGGGCUGGGGAGUGACAGCAGGGGAGGCUGAAAUACAGGCAGUAAAAAUAAAUGUUGCCCAAUCCUAUACAUUUCAAAUAAAAAAACCUGGUUUUUUUAAGCUUUUUUCUUAUUUCAGUGCAUUGUGUUGAACUGUUCUGAUGGACGAGACUACAAAGCCAUCGGGAAAUUCUUCAAAGGUCUGGCACAAUCUGGAGCCUUGGUGUGCUUUGAUGAAUUUAAUCGUAUAGAGCUGGAGCUCCCAUACAGUGCCACCCACCCUAAAUGUGCGACCUGCCCAGAAGCCCUGCUCGGACGUGAAUGGGAAGAAGCCAUUGCAUCAGACCAUGUAAUCACCAUGAAGACACUGGAGCUGAAUGGAUCUGGUUUUCUCCAGGAAGCCAGAAGAACUAGAGGAUAUGUGUGAAAGCUGUUUCACAUACGCUUGUCUGAGCUAGUGCAAAGAUGGUCACAUAAUGAUGUGUACUUGAAGAAGAAUGCAAAAAUUUCUUCUUGCCAUUGAGCUAGUGUUUGGUCUCAAGGAAGCUGAUAUCUGCUUUGCUAUUGGCAUUUAUAAAUAAGGGAAAUUGAUGGAAUUAUCUUAAAGGAGAGCUUUACUUUCAACUCACAUGGGGUAAAAGAGGAAGUAAGUCUCUGUUAUUUGCCUCCCUACACCUGCUUGAUUUGAACCGCCGCAUGCACUUUUCCUCACUGCCAAUUUUUGUAUUCCCUGACCAGCAGUACUCUUCUCUUCCCAGAUUCUUAACCUCCCUUGCACAUUCUCUGCCACUGAUUAAAGUCUGAAUUGGGUUCCAUUUCUCCACAUUAUCUUGUGGAAGCUGAAGCAUGCACACAGGUCCAGAUUUAACACUGUCUUCAUAGACACAUGCUCUACUUUGGCACAAUGACAGAAUUGUUAAUUUGUCCUCAAAAGAUGACUUACUAGUGCUCCCUCCUACAUCCAUGGGAAGGACGGACACUGCCUAAUGGAACAUAUCUUCUCAGUGGCCUCAGGGCAAAUGUCUACUCCCAGGACUGUGAUUCAAACUGUUGCACUGAGGUCUACAGUAGUGACCUGUGUUGUAUACAAAGACUUCUGUAUUAAGAGAUCAUCUCUCACUUUUGAAAACAUUAAAUUUUAGAAACAGAAAUGCUGUUUACUGGGAGGUGCUCACUUCCAGCCUGUGUCUUCCAGACCAAAAUCAACAUGAGCAAGACAGCUUGCAUUUUUUCCUUCCCUGAGAGAGGCUCAAGGGAAGAUUCAUCCUGCUCUCAAGUGUGAUUUCCUGAUCUGUAACCAGUACCCUCACCUGAAACCCACUCUGACCUAUAGAUCUCUGUGCAUUCAAAAUACUGGUAGAGUUCAGUACCAUCUUCAGCUUUUCUGCCACCCUGAAAAGGUGUGACAUCCUCCAAGUAUAGGAUAAGACUAUUGAAUGCUAUUGAAGGUGUUGAGUUGACACCAUAGCCUUAUACUGCCCAAUGCUGAUUCUGUAAAUUUUGUGCAAUAAUUCUUUCAAAAAUGUUCUUUUCCCAUCUGUCAAACAUCUUCUGGUGUGUCUCUCUGCAUAUCAAUGAUGGUUAUGUAUUUAUGAUAAUUUGGUAAUACUUUUUAUUUUAUGGUAGCUCACAAGGCUAUUCAAUUUUCACUACUAUUAUAUGAUACUCUUGUGCAAUGUAUCACUUUACUGGUAUUUUGUUUAGCUUAUUUUAAUGACCAUGUAUUUACACAGCAGCCUUCUGAACAGCAUACCGUCAUCAUUUUUCCUUAAAAGUGACAGGAAUACCUGAUUUUGCCUGUCCAUUUUCUAAAUAUCACUUUAUAAAUUCAGCUCUUUUGUACCCACUGAAACCACUGUGAAUAGGUUCUUCUAUUUCCUUAUUUCCUUAUUUCCUUAAGCAGACUUUUAAGCUCAUUUGUCCUGUUUCUAACAUUUUCAAUAUUUUUUUCUUUGAAAACUUCAAAGAAGACUCUGGAUAAUUAGUUCAAACACUGAAAUCCCAUUUUUUCUUAUGGAUUGUCUUGAUAUUCAUAACUAUUGGUGUGAAAUGUCAGCUGUUUACAGUUUGUUUUCUUUUUUAAGUAUGAAAACAUUUAUUUUUGUCCUUAAAGGUAAUUAUAAUUAAAAAUAAUCCUUCACUAUACCCUCUUAAAAUUCUCAUGCAAUGUAUCUCUCACUGUCUUCUAUAUCAAAUGUGUGUAUUUUAGAAGAUUGAAUAUAGAGUAUCUCAAAAUUUAAACCUUAAGAUGGAUCUGGACUUUUUUUCUGCUACUUAAAAUUUAAUGCAGUUCAAAGAUUGUGCACUGGACAUGCCUGCCAGCACCCUUGCUAACAAUUCAGAAGGCAGAGGAGGAUUUAGAUCAUUUGUCCGAAGCUCUACAGUGCUAGCUCUGCAGUAGCAGUCUCGGUAAAAUUGUUUAACAUUUAUGUAGUGAAACAACUUGAAAUCCUGACCUUACCACAAAGAAAGUGUGGCCGUUAACUUGAAGGCAUUAUAUACUCUCUUGCUAAUUUAGCAAUUUAUGUUGGCUUGUGAUUAAUGAAAACAACUACUGCAGUUGAUUUACUUGACUGGGACUUGGAUCUGUGCAGAUUUCAAA
Long non-coding RNA from Pseudopipra pipra, 12367 nucleotides. RefSeq lists it as uncharacterized. The record is from RefSeq and is a predicted model, not a curated record. The transcript has 3 exons. NCBI's taxonomy places the organism in Eukaryota, Metazoa, Chordata, Aves, Passeriformes, Pipridae.